AGGAAAAUGAUAGACAGACAAUGGGCGAGAAGGUUCAUUGUCAAGAAGGAAACAACCUAGAUCAGAAGUUAAGGUUAUUAAGUAGGGCUAAGUGUUAAAGGGGGUUAUUUAAUAAAGACAGUGAGAAAGUAGGCUUGGAGCCAGCCAUCUUUAAAAGAUUACGUAAUAGUUCACUCAAUAAAUUAAUAAUUCUUAAAGAUUAUGGUGGCUUAAGUAAAUUGAUUACCGAAACUCUGAAUAUAAAAUAAUGGUAAAUUAUUUGAUGGUAUGGUAGCAGAACGUUUAGUAAUGGAUAAAAAUUAUGUUGCGAAAGCAUAUCUGAAGUGAUAAUGUGAAUAUGAGUAAAAAACAGUGUGAGAAUCAUUGCUCACGGCUUAAGGUUUCCAAUAAGAGGAUGUUCCGAAUUGGGUUAUACAGUUUUUAAGGUAAUUGUAUUAAUAAAAGAAAAAAUAGUAAGUAAAAGAAAUUAUUUUAUUAGACUGUACUAAAACUAACACAAGUGGGCUAUAAGUGAUGGUAUAAUUUAUCUUAAGGAAUUCGGCAAAAUAGCUUUGUAAGUUCGCAAGAAAAGGUGCUAAUUAUUUAAUUAGUAGAUAUGAUAAAUAAUUAGUCUCAGUAAAGAGGGGGUGUCGACUGUUUACCAAAAACAUAGCUUUCAGCAAAAAGCCUUUGGUUUGAAGUAUUGAAGGUGAGGCCUGCCCAAUGAUUGUAUCUAAAUCCAAAGAAUAAGAUAAGUUGUUUGGUUAAGGGCAAUUGAAUGGCCGCGGUAAAUCUGACCGUGAUAAUGUAGCGCAAUCAAUAGCCAAUUAAUUGUUGGCAAGUAUGAAUGGCGUCACGAAUGCCCUACUGUCUCAAGAUAAAAACCAAUGAAAUUGAAAUCGUAGUGAAGAUGCUAUGUUCAAAUUAUAAGACGAGAAGACCCCAUUGAGCUUUACUGGAGGCUUAUAUUGUUUUUUUAAAAUUAAUAUUUAGAUUAUGUGGGUAUAAUAAAAUUGAAUUUAUAUGAAAAACCACUUAUUAAUUAAAGAAAAAAACUAAUUAUAGAGGAGAGUAUAAGUUGGACAGUUUAGUUGGGGCGACUGCCUUCUAAAGAGUAACGAAGGUGUACAUAAGGUAAAUAAUAUAAUAGUAUAAAGUAAGAAGCCUGACAGUAAGAAGGAUUUUCAAGCUGACACAAAUAAAGAUAUUAAUUAAAUUUUGUGGGUUAUAAUGACCCGUUAGUUAAGAAUGGAAUUGCUAACGAUUAACGAAUAAAAGUUACCAUGGGGAUAACAGCGUAAUAUUGUUUGAGAGUUCUUAUCGAUGACAAUGUUUGCGACCUCGAUGUUGAAUUGUGAUAUCCUGGGGGUGUAGCCGUUCCCAAGGGUUGGACUGUUCGUCCAUUAAAAUCAUACAUGAUUUGAGUUCAGACCGGCGUAAGCCAGGUCGGUUUCUAUCUAUAAUUUGUUUAGGAAACAUAAGAUAUAACUAUAUUCUAGUACGAAAGGAUCGAAUGAUAGUUGUCCGCUGGUGUACCAAUUACAAAAAAUGUUGU
This 1534-nucleotide ribosomal RNA is filed under the name Tethya minuta. RNAcentral's name for it is "partial 16S ribosomal RNA". It matches the Rfam family "Bacterial large subunit ribosomal RNA", at positions 971 to 2736 of the family's 2925-position model. Lineage: Eukaryota; Metazoa; Porifera; Demospongiae; Tethyida; Tethyidae. The record is from RNAcentral.